CACGUAGUUAGCCGGUGCUUCUUCCCCACCUACCGUCACCCCAAAGGGCUUCGUCGAUGGUGAAAGAGGUUUACAACCCGAAGGCCUUCAUCCCCCACGCGGCGUCGCUGCGUCAGGCUUUCGCCCAUUGCGCAAGAUUCCCCACUGCUGCCUCCCGUAGGAGUCUGGGCCGUGUCUCAGUCCCAGUGUGGCCGAUCACCCUCUCAGGCCGGCUACCCGUCGUCGCCUUGGUAGGCCAUUACCCCACCAACAAGCUGAUAGGCCGCGGGCCCAUCCCAUACCGCCGGAACUUUCCACACCCCACCAUGCGGCAGAAUGUCCUAUCCGGUAUUAGCCCCCGUUUCCAGGGGUUAUCCCAGAGUAUGGGGCAGAUUACCCACGUGUUACUCACCCGUUCGCCACUCAUCCACCCCGACCACAAGGGCAGAGCUUCAGCGUUCGACUUGCAUGUGUUAAGCACGCCGCCAGCGUCGUCCUGAGCCACGGAUCGAACUAC
Molecule: ribosomal RNA, 496 nt
Filed under: uncultured Actinomycetales bacterium
Lineage: Bacteria; Bacillati; Actinomycetota; Actinomycetes; Actinomycetales
Description: partial 16S ribosomal RNA
Source: RNAcentral